CAGUAGCCACGGGAAUACGUAGGUGGCAAGCGUUGUCCGGAAUUAUUGGGCGUAAAGCGCGCGCAGGCGGAUAGGUCAGUCUGUCUUAAAAGUUCGGGGCUUAACCCCGUGAUGGGAUGGAAACUGCCAAUCUAGAGUAUCGGAGAGGAAAGUGGAAUUCCUAGUGUAGCGGUGAAAUGCGUAGAUAUUAGGAAGAACACCAGUGGCGAAGGCGACUUUCUGGACGAAAACUGACGCUGAGGCGCGAAAGCCAGGGGAGCGAACGGGAUUAGAUACCCGGGUAGUCCCUGUCUCUUAUACA
Molecule: ribosomal RNA, 301 nt
Filed under: uncultured bacterium
Lineage: Bacteria
Description: partial 16S ribosomal RNA
Rfam family: Bacterial small subunit ribosomal RNA
Source: RNAcentral